This 273-nucleotide ribosomal RNA is filed under the name uncultured Streptococcus sp. Its description in RNAcentral is "partial 16S ribosomal RNA". It matches the Rfam family "Bacterial small subunit ribosomal RNA", at positions 1110 to 1382 of the family's 1533-position model. Lineage: Bacteria; Bacillati; Bacillota; Bacilli; Lactobacillales; Streptococcaceae. The record is from RNAcentral.
GUUAGUUGCCAUCAUUCAGUUGGGCACUCUAGCGAGACUGCCGGUAAUAAACCGGAGGAAGGUGGGGAUGACGUCAAAUCAUCAUGCCCCUUAUGACCUGGGCUACACACGUGCUACAAUGGUUGGUACAACGAGUUGCGAGUCGGUGACGGCGAGCUAAUCUCUUAAAAGCCAAUCUCAGUUCGGAUUGCAGGCUGCAACUCGCCUGCAUGAAGCCGGAAUCGCUAGUAAUCGCGGAUCAGCAUGCCGCGGUGAAUACCGUUCCCGGGCCUU